This 229-nucleotide unclassified non-coding RNA is filed under the name Hevea brasiliensis (rubber tree). Lineage: Eukaryota; Viridiplantae; Streptophyta; Magnoliopsida; Malpighiales; Euphorbiaceae. The record is from RNAcentral.
GAACUCAUCGAUAAAAGGAUGGGAAUUCCGAUCACCACCUUCGACUUUUCCAAUUAAGUGCCAAAUAAUCUCUUGAUCAGUUGGAUCAAAUUUUACACCUCUUGGCAAUCCUGGCCAGUCAUGGCUGACGUCAUUGUUGUCAAUGAUAAACUGGCAAUUAGGGCAAGCUUUUGUAGGGUUGCUCUUCCAAUUCACUGUUGCAGGAUCACCUGAUGCACUCUUAAUUUUU